This 433-nucleotide ribosomal RNA is filed under the name uncultured bacterium. RNAcentral's name for it is "partial 16S ribosomal RNA". It matches the Rfam family "Bacterial small subunit ribosomal RNA", at positions 29 to 507 of the family's 1533-position model. The record is from RNAcentral.
AACGAACGCUGGCGGCAUGCCUAACACAUGCAAGUCGAACGAUGCUUUCGGGCAUAGUGGCGCACGGGUGCGUAACGCGUGGGAAUCUGCCCUUGGGUUCGGAAUAACAGUGAGAAAUUGCUGCUAAUACCGGAUGAUGUCUUCGGACCAAAGAUUUAUCGCCCAGGGAUGAGCCCGCGUAGGAUUAGCUAGUUGGUGGGGUAAUGGCCUACCAAGGCGACGAUCCUUAGCUGGUCUGAGAGGAUGAUCAGCCACACUGGGACUGAGACACGGCCCAGACUCCUACGGGAGGCAGCAGUGGGGAAUAUUGGACAAUGGGCGCAAGCCUGAUCCAGCAAUGCCGCGUGAGUGAUGAAGGCCUUAGGGUUGUAAAGCUCUUUUACCCGGGAUGAUAAUGACAGUACCGGGAGAAGAAGCUCCGGCUAACUCCGUG